This 253-nucleotide ribosomal RNA is filed under the name uncultured bacterium. Its description in RNAcentral is "partial 16S ribosomal RNA". It matches the Rfam family "Bacterial small subunit ribosomal RNA", at positions 524 to 776 of the family's 1533-position model. The record is from RNAcentral.
UACAGAGGUCCCAAGCGUUGUUCGGAUUCAUUGGGCAUAAAGGGUGCGUAGGCGGCGCGGUAAGUCGGGUGUGAAAUCUUGGAGCUUAACUCCGAAACUGCAUUCGAUACUGCCGUGCUUGAGGACUGGAGAGGAGACUGGAAUUUACGGUGUAGCGGUGAAAUGCGUAGAUAUCGUAAGGAAGACCAGUGGCGAAGGCGGGUCUCUGGACAGUUCCUGACGCUGAGGCACGAAAGCUAGGGGAGCAAACAGG